This 468-nucleotide ribosomal RNA is filed under the name uncultured bacterium. RNAcentral describes it as "partial 16S ribosomal RNA". It matches the Rfam family "Bacterial small subunit ribosomal RNA", at positions 28 to 507 of the family's 1533-position model. The record is from RNAcentral.
GACGAACGCUGGCGGCGUGCUUAACACAUGCAAGUCGAACGGAAAGGCCCUGCUUUUGUGGGGUGCUCGAGUGGCGAACGGGUGAGUAACACGUGAGUAACCUGCCCUUGACUUUGGGAUAACUUCAGGAAACUGGGGCUAAUACCGGAUAGGAGCUCCUGCUGCAUGGUGGGGGUUGGAAAGUUUCGGCGGUUGGGGAUGGACUCGCGGCUUAUCAGCUUGUUGGUGGGGUAGUGGCUUACCAAGGCUUUGACGGGUAGCCGGCCUGAGAGGGUGACCGGCCACAUUGGGACUGAUAUACGGCCCAGACUCCUACGGGAGGCAGCAGUGGGGAAUAUUGCACAAUGGGCGGAAGCCUGAUGCAGCAACGCCGCGUGCGGGAUGACGGCCGUCGGGUUUUAAACCGCUUUCGCCUGUGACGAAGCGUGAGUGACGGUAAUGGGUAAAGAAGCACCGGCUAACUACGUG